CUCGUAGGCUGUUCGGUCAGUCAGAUGUGAAAGCCCUCGGCUUAACCGGGGAACUGCAUUUGAUACUGCCAGACUUGAGUGUCGGAGAGGGUGGCGGAAUUCCGGGUGUAGGAGUGAAAUCCGUAGAUAUCCGGAGGAACACCAGUGGCGAAGGCGGCCACCCGGACGACAACUGACGCUGAGGAGCGAAAGCGUGGGGAGCAAACA
RNAcentral lists this ribosomal RNA (207 nucleotides) under uncultured bacterium. RNAcentral's name for it is "partial 16S ribosomal RNA". It matches the Rfam family "Bacterial small subunit ribosomal RNA", at positions 568 to 774 of the family's 1533-position model. The record is from RNAcentral.